RNAcentral lists this unclassified non-coding RNA (21 nucleotides) under Dictyostelium discoideum. Lineage: Eukaryota; Evosea; Eumycetozoa; Dictyosteliales; Dictyosteliaceae. The record is from RNAcentral.
UCUGUUUCCAAGUUACGACUA